This 517-nucleotide ribosomal RNA is filed under the name Shigella sonnei. RNAcentral describes it as "bacterial SSU rRNA". It matches the Rfam family "Bacterial small subunit ribosomal RNA", at positions 1 to 507 of the family's 1533-position model. Lineage: Bacteria; Pseudomonadati; Pseudomonadota; Gammaproteobacteria; Enterobacterales; Enterobacteriaceae. The record is from RNAcentral.
AAAUUGAAGAGUUUGAUCAUGGCUCAGAUUGAACGCUGGCGGCAGGCCUAACACAUGCAAGUCGAACGGUAACAGGAAACAGCUUGCUGUUUCGCUGACGAGUGGCGGACGGGUGAGUAAUGUCUGGGAAACUGCCUGAUGGAGGGGGAUAACUACUGGAAACGGUAGCUAAUACCGCAUAAUGUCGCAAGACUAAAGAGGGGGACCUUCGGGCCUCUUGCCAUCGGAUGUGCCCAGAUGGGAUUAGCUAGUAGGUGGGGUAACGGCUCACCUAGGCGACGAUCCCUAGCUGGUCUGAGAGGAUGACCAGCCACACUGGAACUGAGACACGGUCCAGACUCCUACGGGAGGCAGCAGUGGGGAAUAUUGCACAAUGGGCGCAAGCCUGAUGCAGCCAUGCCGCGUGUAUGAAGAAGGCCUUCGGGUUGUAAAGUACUUUCAGCGGGGAGGAAGGGAGUAAAGUUAAUACCUUUACUCAUUGACGUUACCCGCAGAAGAAGCACCGGCUAACUCCGUG